UACCCUACGGGAGGCUGCAGUGGGGAAUAUUGGACAAUGGGCGAAAGCCUGAUCCAGCCAUGCCGCGUGGGUGAAGAAGGCCUUAGGGUUGUAAACCCCUUUCAGCGGGGAAGAUAAUGACGGUACCCGCAGAAGAAGUCCCGGCUAACUCCGUGCCAGCAGCCGCGGUAAUACGGAGGGGACUAGCGUUGUUCGGAAUUACUGGGCGUAAAGCGCGCGUAGGCGGAUUUGCAAGUCGGGGGUGAAAGCCCGAGGCUCAACCUCGGAACUGCCCUCGAUACUGCAAAUCUCGAGUCCGAGAGAGGUGAGUGGAAUUCCUAGUGUAGAGGUGAAAUUCGUAGAUAUUAGGAAGAACACCAGUGGCGAAGGCGGCUCACUGGCUCGGUACUGACGCUGAGGCGCGAAAGCGUGGGGAGCAAACAGGAUUAGAUACCCCAGUAGUCA
RNAcentral lists this ribosomal RNA (444 nucleotides) under uncultured Hyphomicrobiaceae bacterium. RNAcentral describes it as "bacterial SSU rRNA". It matches the Rfam family "Bacterial small subunit ribosomal RNA", at positions 334 to 796 of the family's 1533-position model. Lineage: Bacteria; Pseudomonadati; Pseudomonadota; Alphaproteobacteria; Hyphomicrobiales; Hyphomicrobiaceae. The record is from RNAcentral.